RNAcentral lists this long non-coding RNA (227 nucleotides) under Amborella trichopoda. RNAcentral's name for it is "long non-coding RNA (ATRI_LNC002620)". Lineage: Eukaryota; Viridiplantae; Streptophyta; Magnoliopsida; Amborellales; Amborellaceae. The record is from RNAcentral.
CAUGAUCAAACUGUUUUUUUCUUUUUUUGUAAUCCACGAUUGAAUUUUUUGUUUUUUUUGUUUGUUUUUUUUUGUAAUCCAUGAUCGAAUUUUAUGUAAUCCAUGAUCGAAUUUUAUGUAAUCCAUGAUUGAAUUUUUUGAAAAUUUGUGAUUUUUUUUUUUUAAUCCAUGAUCGAAUUUUUUUUGUAAUCCAUGAUAGAAUUUUUUGAAAAUUUGUGAUUUUUUUU